Molecule: long non-coding RNA, 1490 nt
Organism: Acinonyx jubatus (cheetah)
Lineage: Eukaryota; Metazoa; Chordata; Mammalia; Carnivora; Felidae
Exons: 3
Source: RefSeq, a predicted model, not a curated record
GAGUUGGGAGUUCUAUUCUUUUCUGUUUGGUUGUUUGUUUGCUUGUUUGGUUGGUUGGUUGGUCGGUUGGUUGGUUUUGGCUAUCUCUCAGCCAGAUAUAUUGUCUUAGAAGAUUCUUCUCUGCUUUCCUCCUAUAGUGCUCUUUUUCUCUAUCAAGAAUAUGGAAUAUUUAUCCCACCAGAGGGAAUACCUACAACUGGAUUCUCUGCGAUCAGGCCUCCAAACUAAGAACCCAAAGAAUGGAUAUCACAGAAAAGAGACCAGAUGGCAAGAAUAAGAAGAAAAGAAUCAGAACAAGUCAUACUUCUCUUAGUAACAGGACAGCAAGACCCAGACUGGCAUCCGGUCGGGAGAAAGCAGCACCCACUGUCGCUACGCCUUCUUUCCCCAACAUGCCAAAUAUUCCAGAGUAAAUUUACAGAUGGGCUCAAACUAUAAUGUUUGGGUAAUUGUAGAUAUAAAUGUCCCCUUUGAAAACUUAUUAUUCGUUGGUGUAUCUUAUAUGAUAUUUAACACUAUAAUCUCUCAGAAAGUUUUCUCCUCUUUUCGAAUGGUAAUUGACAAUGAAUACUAAACUUUUUAAAUGUCAUUUCUCUGCUCCUUCCUAUUAUUUUUUUCUUUAAUUUUGUAUCCCAACUAUCUGGCUAGUGGAGAUAAUUAACUUCUUAAUAUAGUUUGAAAGCUCAUUCUGCUUGAAGGCUUUAUUCUAUCAAACCUUCUUAUUGUUUGAUAAAGAUUUUGCAGUUAAAGUUUAAAAUUCAGAUAAAAUAGUAAAUAAGUCCUAAAACAGCUUAAAAGUAGUAAAUUAUUUUAAUUAAGAGCUUUUUAAUUAUUUUUUAUUUAUUAAUUGAAUUGAUAAUUAUAUAUUGAACAGCUCUGCAGGUUACAUAUUUUAAAUAACAAUAAUGAAAUGGGUAGCAUACUGUUUACAUGAAUGCUUAGCUUAUGCUUCCUCAGUAUAUGCAUAGAAAUUUCAUACCACCUACAUGAAAUGGAUUCUGAGAUUUUGAGAAAAAUGUUGUAGUUGGGUUAUUAUUAUUAUUAUACACAUUGAUAAUUGCCCAUGGUGAUUUUCUUUUUGCAAUAUCAGAUGGCAACUGGUUGGUACCAAAGUGAUUAAAUCAUGAAAUUAUAUAUUAACAAAUACAAAUAAAUGUAAUCCCCACAUUACUAUUUAUGGCUUAUAAUUUCAUUUCAUUAAAAAUGUCACAUAGAAAAAAGGAUCACAUUAGUUACUUAAUAAUUUGCUAGAGCUGUGUGAUUCUUAAAGCCUUAACAAAGAGACAUAAUAUUUGAAUUGUGUGGUUUUAAUACUGUAUAAAGCACUUCAAGGAAUAGGACAAAAGAUAAAAGAUAUGCUCUUACCAACAGCAUUUGUUCUUGAUAUACAUCUAUAUACUAUAUAUCUAUAUACUGUAUAUCUAUAUACUGUAUAUAUGUAUAUCAUAUACUGUAUAUCAAGAACAAAUAUAUUAAUGCACUUAUAUAUA